CCUACGGGAGACUGCAGUGAGGAAUAUUGGUCAAUGGUCGGGAGACUGAACCAGCCAAGCCGCGUGAGGGAUGAAGGUACAGAGUAUCGUAAACCUCUUUUGUCAGGGAACAAAGGCGGGGACGUGUCCCCGGCUGAGUGUACCUGAAGAACAAGCAUCGGCUAACUCCGUGCCAGCAGCCGCGGUAAUACGGAGGAUGCGAGCGUUAUCCGGAUUUAUUGGGUUUAAAGGGUGCGCAGGCGGUCUGUUAAGUCAGCGGUCAAAGCCCGGGGCUCAACCCCGGCCCGCCGUUGAAACUGGCAGUCUCGAGUUGGAGAGAAGUAUGCGGAAUGCGCGGUGUAGCGGUGAAAUGCAUAGAUAUCGCGCAGAACUCCGAUUGCGAAGGCAGCAUGCCGGCUCCACACUGACGCUGAGGCACGAAAGCGUGGGUAUCGAACAGGAUUAGAUACCCGGGUAGUC
RNAcentral lists this ribosomal RNA (459 nucleotides) under uncultured bacterium. Its description in RNAcentral is "partial 16S ribosomal RNA". It matches the Rfam family "Bacterial small subunit ribosomal RNA", at positions 338 to 795 of the family's 1533-position model. The record is from RNAcentral.